This 3909-nucleotide long non-coding RNA is filed under the name Zea mays. RNAcentral describes it as "long non-coding RNA (ZMAY_LNC002949)". The record is from RNAcentral. Lineage: Eukaryota; Viridiplantae; Streptophyta; Magnoliopsida; Poales; Poaceae.
UCACCUUCUGGAAAAAAAUCUCCACCGCUCUAUCUCUGAUUUUUCCCCAGCGCUUGCUUCUCCAGCUCGACUCGUCGGCCUCGCGUCCAACCGCUCAACCAUCUCUAUCUUAUUUUCUACACGCGUGCUCAGCUCUUAGCAAAUUCUGGGCGUUCUUCUCUCUGUACGCGGCUGCCAGCACACACCGCCGAGUCCGCGUGGCUGCUCAGCCAGUACUGCUCACGCCAGCACAACAGUGAUCAGCCAACACUUAUCCUCAACUCCAACUCGUUCAGCCGGUUCUUCAUCCGUCGUCCACAGGCUUCAGACGUAGCUCGCCAGCUUCGACCUCCGCCCUGCCCUUGACCCCACUCGCCCGUUCUUGUUCCCGACGCUCGAGCUCACCUCAGCUUCGCUGUGCCCCUGCGUUCGGCCUCUUCCCUCCACCAGCGGACGUCCUCGGUCUCGCUUUCCUCGCCGUGGCAAGGCCCCGGCCACGACGUCAUCCCCCUGUGAGCCUCAUUGCUGUGUCGCUUGCCUGCACCCUCUUUGUUCGAUGAAAUGGUCAAGUCGAUAACUAUUGCUGUUGCUCACAGCUAAGCUAGCUGUUGAAGUCGUGCCUCGCAUACGCCUAUUCGAUGAAAUGCCCAAACGUCACGUCCGCUCCUUGUCCCAACACCCUGUCACAAUUCCGUGCGUUGCCGGUGAGACAUCGAUUUUCUUCUAUUCAAUUAGUUCUUUGCUUGGUGUCAAUGAUUAACUGUGGUUUAUGUUUGUGUACUAGUGUGUGUUUCGGAAGAGAGGAAUCCCAUAUAUGUGAGGACAGGCAAUCCGUGCAAUAGUUGUUUGAUGUUUGGUGUUAUGCGCAAAUCAGAAAUCGUCAUCAUUAUCCCAAAUAUCGAUUUGGUUUGUGAUAUGGUGAGCCCUCUCGCUACCUUGGCUAGUUAAUUUGAUCGAUGAAUUGAUUACAGUUGCCAACGAUGAUUCUUCUUGUUUUUAGCGCAAGCAUAUUGUGUGUUAUCUUUUAGACCCAUUGUUGCACUUAUAUGCGAUGUUACAUGGUGAUUGAGUUAAUUGUUCUUGUGCUCACAAACAAAAAUUUCCUAUGUGUACAGUUUUAAUUGUGCAACUAAUCUAGUAAAGCAAACUACGUUUUCUGUAAAGAUGUUUUAUAUAAAAUUAGUAGGUAACCUCCCCAUCUUUCUUGUGUUAAAUUUUCAUGACCAUAGGUUUAAUAGUUUAAGAGUUAUGAUUUUCCCAAGUCCAGUUUCAGAAUCUGUCCAGAUUCUGUACUGAUUUCGAAAAUUGCUUUGUUUGACUAAAUUAAACUUAGAAUCAGACCUUAGUAAUUACAGAAGAAUUGUAGUACUUUUCUUAAGUUUUCCAACAAAUUUUGGAAUACCCUUUUUGGUGGUCUAGAGACCAAGUUACAGCUAUUUGAACUAUAGAGUCUGAAUCUGUCCAAAUCUGGACAGCAAUGCUUGUUUGUAUGAACUGACUUUGAUACACAUUGAAUCACCCUGAGAUGUUUAUAAAUGAAUUGUCGACAAUUCUAUCAGAUUUCUAAAAAGUCUAGGAUCACCUGAUUUGGAUUUUUAAAACUUCAGUUAUGAAUUUUUGAAGUAAGUGGUCGAAUUCUGUCCAAAUCUGGACAGAAUUAAAGUUUAGCACUGUUUGACCUUUUAAACUGUCGAAUCAGGUUAUGAUGAUAAUAUAAGAGUUAUAGAGGACUUUCUAAGCUUUCCAGAAAGUCCUAGUUUACUAUUUUUGGAUGCAUAUUUUGUGAGUUAUGAAUAAAACAAUUAAUCGCUGUGCUGCUGUCUAAAAAUUCUGCAAGUAUUAAAUUGUUGGCUUGAAGUUACUAUUGUUUGGCUAAGUAAGUUUAGCUGAUUCUUAAUUGGUGAAGUGAUGCUUUGUUUUAGUAAUUAUCAUGUUCUAUGGUUGUUGAUUGAGUAAAUAUGAUAAAUGGAGAUUGGUCGCUUAAGUUAAUCAUCUUGAAUAAAUGUUCCUCACUAUUCUUAUUAGUUGGAAGUAAAUAGCAUCAAUACGUUUAUUCUAGUUGUAAUCCGAGAGCUAUAUAGUGGGAAGUGCAUUUAGGCGCUUAAAGUCUUUUGCUUCUAGGUUAUAAUCAAAUGAGAUUAUGUAAUAUUUGAUGAUGCUCCACUUGCUAGGACAAAUAGUGUGAUGUGUUAUUUAGCUCGUGCGCUAUGCUAGUUAAUCCGAUGAAAUGGUUUAAAAAGUUAGUUAAAGUAUUUCUAUUCAAAUUCGAAGCCGUAGAUGUCUAAGGCUAAUAAGUUUAAAUUAUGGUAAUCGUUUGGUGUAUGUUCUAGUUAAAGAAGAUCCAUACAUGGUUCACGAUUGUUUGGUGUUUAAGUUAGGUUCGAUUGAUUAGAAGAUCAUGCUUGUUGUGUUAGAGUUAAGGUAUCUAGUGAUUAUUUAUGCUUGCUUAUAAUGUUUUGCUAGAGAAUGUUUAAUCCUAUACCAUAUAACUUCAUAUAAUAUUGUACUAGUUCUUAUGUUCAUACAUGUGCAACCUACAUCCAAAUAGGUACACUAGCUGAAAAAUCGUGCGAAGCGAAGGGUGUGGAUCAAAACAACCCACAAGACGAUGUCGGCCGAUGAGCCCGAAGAUGGAUGGACUAAGCAGAUGUCAGAACAAAAGUUGAUCGUCAACUGGCCUUCAUUUAACAACACUAACGUAGUGUUAUCCCAGGUAAGCCCCGGUGCAUUUGCCACCUCCUUGUUGUUUUUAAAACUUUUAUCACUUAUGUGACAGAAUCUCCCAAGUAAUUAGGCCCACCUACAGUUGUCCUUGUCCAACAGACAUCAGACAACCCUGUAGAUGUUCCUGAAUCACUCGACAAGUUCGGUAUCUUCUUUCUUACCUUUCCAGGAACGUUUUACCCGUCUUGCAGACAUUACAGAACAUCGGAGAUAUAGAAAUGCGGAAGCGAUUACAUAAACUUACAUUUAUUUAGAAAGUAAGAUCAAGUUACUUAUUACAGAUAUGAAACGAGUGCUGAAUAGUAUUAUUACAAUACCAAGGGAGGCAAAAACUCCUCCCGAUAGUUUUUAUAAAGUCCUAAUGGAGGAUCCUUUCCUCCCGCACUUCAUUCCUUGCGUUCUUCCUUUGGUUAUGACUCAACCUGAUAAUUCUCUGAUCAGUGUUGAGAGUUGCUUUGUGUCUGGCUAACCAAUUCAUGCCCAAAAUAACAUCUAUAUCUUGGCCUUUCAGAACGAUCAUAUUAGUAGGAAAGUCCCGUCCGGCCAAAGUUACGGGCACUUGAUAGGCCACUUCUCUAGUAAAUAUUUGUCCCCCUGGUGAGUGAAUUUUAAACCCCUCUUUUGAUUCAUGGCAUGAGAUGCAAUGUUGCUCCACAAAUUUCUUGCUGAUGAAUGUAUGCGAAGCACCAGAAUCAAAGAGAAUAACUGCGGGAUGAUUGGCCACAAGAAACGUACCCAUCAUUACCGGCUCACCGUCCGGCGUAGUGGCCACUUGCGUAUAAUAUAUGUGUCCCGUCUUCUUAGUAUUUUUGCCCACAGUAUUUCCCUUGGCUUGAGAUGAAUUUCCAGAUCCUUGCUAAUUAUUUGACUGGUUCUGCUUUGGAUAAGGGCAAUCCUUGAUAAAAUGCCCAGACUUCCACAAUUGAAACAUCCAGUUGAUGAGCUGGGCAAAGCAGAGAAUCGAGUGCCUGGGGCACCCGGCUGACUUGAUGCAGUAGGGGCAUUAUUGGGACGAAUAAAGAUUGGCCGCUUAAAAGGGAAGGAGGGUGGACGAGAGAAAGAACAAUUCUGGUUGGAGGCCGGAUGACAACCCGUUGCUUCUUCACCGGGCCCUGACUAGGCCUGUCACCUCCAAAACCCUUGGAUUUUCCAGCACCUGCAUACUUUGCUUCUACUGCUAGUGCUGUACUGACAGCUCUUCCAUAA